This is an RNA transcript of Panicum virgatum (switchgrass), 1695 nucleotides long. RefSeq lists it as uncharacterized. The record is from RefSeq and is a predicted model, not a curated record. The transcript is spliced from 4 exons. Lineage: Eukaryota; Viridiplantae; Streptophyta; Magnoliopsida; Poales; Poaceae.
AGCUGAGUCCGCCUCCGCCGCGCCGCCGGGGCCCUCACACAGCUCCGACGACGCCCGGUGCCGUCCCCUUGCCCGGCGCUCCCCCUCCUCUCCGAUUCCUCCGCCACGAGAGCCAAGGCCGCCCGCCUCCGCCGCGCCGCAUCUGGCGCAUGCCUGGCUGCUCAGACGACCUCGCCGCUGUCGCGACGCACGGACGACCCAUCCCCCUCCCGCGGGUGAGGUGCCGGUUGGCGACCGGCGACCUCCCAGCCUGCGGAUCGACGGCGGCUCCCUUGCCCCAGCCCGACAGCAGCGACAGCGGCGAGCUCCCACCCGGCGGGUCGACGGCGGUUAGAUUCUCGGCAGCCAGCGCAAGUGGCGCCCCACACCCGGCCACCUCCCUGGGAGGCUCGACUGACACCGGCGCUCCGACCUCGCCUCCACGACCACGUAAGUCGUCCCUUUGCAUGGGAUCAUGCUGUGUUUCAAUUGACUCCGAUUCCCUUCAUCUUCGAUCACCGUGAAGCCACCAGUCAAGCUCAUCUGUUGUUUCCUUUCCGCUUGGUGGCCUGUGCCCUUGAACUGCUCGAUGAAAUGCCCCAAGGGCCCUGUUACCUGAUUUUGCAUUGGUUCACUGCAUCUGCAUGGUUUCAGGCUUAACAUACUGUCAGUCGCAAGGAGGCAGAAACCAAUGGUGAAGUUAGUCAUGAUUCAAGGCAGUGCACUUGGUGAUGGGUUGCCUGAUGGUUUGCCUCGACCUCCUUCCUUUUGUGGUGCUGCUCGUGCCUCCACAACUUCUCGUUGUCUCCACUGGUCGCUAGAGGAGAGGACACAAAAGGGUACAUGAGGGUGAGGGCGGUGAGCCACUGCUCGCUGCGCAUGCCAUUGCCGAGAUAUGCAAGAGUGCAUUGCAGUGCGAUGCAUGGUGUCACUGCAUGAGGCCAUUCAGGCACUUCAUUUAUGCAGGACCUAUAACUGUAAACAGUAUGCUGGAUCUGCCUGCGAUGAGCUGAAGCAUGUCAGGCAAGCAGUUGCCCCCUUGAUACUUGAUGAUAGACAGAAUCCUGAUACUUCUUGUUUGGAUCAGUAUGGCUUCCUAAUCUUUUUCUCAUAUAGUCAUAGCUAUGUGCAACUCUCAGUCUCAUUAAAUUUAUAUCAUCAAAUCCUGCUUUUGCCUUCUAUACUGAGAACAUGACAUUCUUUAGUAGAGCCAAUGUGCGCUUAAAUUUAUAACAGUCUUGAUCACAUUAAUAGUUUGCUUGCUUUUUUGCUCGGGGCGAUCACCAAUGUCAUGGAGUACCAGCUACCAGGCCAUCGAGAAGCAAAAGCUUAUAAAUAUUAUUAUCUACGACUAUUACGUGUCCGACCCUGAGGACGAGUGGACGCUGCAGGUGAACAGGGAGGCAUGUGAGCUCCAUCUCCUUCACUGCCUUUGCUACUAUAUCAUGUAUAUAUUCCUAUGCUUCAGCGGGUGUAGGAGCAGCAGUUCAUGAGAUAAGGUGACUGAGCCAGUUAAAUUAGAAGGGGGUGGGGAAAUGGGCCAUUAGUAGUUAUGUUCAUUGAUCAGUCUCCACUAUUCCUUUUGUUACUAUAAAAUCUUACUUAUCUAUUUAGGGUGGAAUUGUACAAGUUUAUUUAUUUGGAGAACAGGUUUGUGAAUUUUUUUGAAAAAUGUUAACUUUAUAAUUGAGACUAUUGAAGUAAUUCUCCCUGGCA